RNAcentral lists this ribosomal RNA (253 nucleotides) under uncultured bacterium. Its description in RNAcentral is "partial 16S ribosomal RNA". It matches the Rfam family "Bacterial small subunit ribosomal RNA", at positions 524 to 776 of the family's 1533-position model. The record is from RNAcentral.
UACGUAGGGACCGAGCGUUGUCCGGAAUCAUUGGGCGUAAAGAGCGUGUAGGCGGUUAGGUAGGUCCGUUGUGAAAACUCGAGGCUCAACCUCGAGACGCCGAUGGAAACCAUCUGACUAGAGUCCGGAAGAGGAGAGUGGAAUUCCUGGUGUAGCGGUGAAAUGCGCAGAUAUCAGGAAGAACACCCGUGGCUAAGGCGGCUCUCUAGUACGUGACUGACGCUGAGACGCGAAAGCGUGGGGAGCAAACAGG